UCCAAAAAUUAUUGAAACAAAAAAGGGUGGGAAUAUAGACUAACUUUUCUCUUGAAAAGAAAAAAAGUUCUCCAAGCCAUUAGAUCUAAAAUAAAAAAUCGCAUCCCUUGAAUAAAAGACUCGAUCAAAAGUUGUCUUCUUAAACUAAUAACUGGACACCAUGUGGCAUCAUCUUAAACUUUAUCGAUUAGAAAAAUUCAAAUCCUAUCAUUGAUUUGUCUCUCCUCCAGCUAUAAAUAGUCUCUUGGAAGAGAGAAUUAGAUCCCAUCCCUCUCCUUUUGAAGCUUCUUCUUUUUCCCCCGUAUC
Molecule: long non-coding RNA, 306 nt
Filed under: Elaeis guineensis (African oil palm)
Lineage: Eukaryota; Viridiplantae; Streptophyta; Magnoliopsida; Arecales; Arecaceae
Description: long non-coding RNA (EGUI_LNC038839)
Source: RNAcentral